UUUUUUUACAUCCACACAACCAUGAGCCUUUUCUUUGUUUUUUCUUUCUUUUCUUUUUCUUUGCUCUAUGGUUUCAAGGGUGAUUUCUUUUUCUUGUUUCUUUUCACACUUUCACCCUUUCAUAAAAACUCACUUUUCCGAGUUUCUAAUCAACUCUUUUUACUUUACUCUCCCCAACUUUAGAUUCCAAAACCAAAUUUAUUCAAUAAUGCUCCCUACUUAAACAUAAGCAAAAGGAAAAAUUUUCAAACAACUCGGUUUGAG
This 264-nucleotide long non-coding RNA is filed under the name Lathyrus oleraceus (garden pea). Its description in RNAcentral is "Pisum sativum (pea) long non-coding RNA (PSAT_LNC012540)". Lineage: Eukaryota; Viridiplantae; Streptophyta; Magnoliopsida; Fabales; Fabaceae. The record is from RNAcentral.